This 1361-nucleotide long non-coding RNA is filed under the name Jatropha curcas. RNAcentral describes it as "long non-coding RNA (JCUR_LNC001387)". Lineage: Eukaryota; Viridiplantae; Streptophyta; Magnoliopsida; Malpighiales; Euphorbiaceae. The record is from RNAcentral.
CGGAGUCACCGGCAGCAGGCAAAAUGCUUUCUCUCUCUCUUGAUUUUUUUUUUUUUAUCUCCGUUUUUCUUUUUCUCUUGUUUUGUUGGUUUUCAAGUGCCUAAACCGUCAAAUACAACCUAUUUUUGAAUUGUUUAUUCCUUUGUAUAAGUUAGCUAGUGCUUGUAUAGGUUUAAUAGCCAUGAACUGGAUUCAGCGCAAGAUCUAUCUCUAUAAUGUCACUUUUGGUCUCUUUAUGUUGGAUUGGUGGGAGCGUUACCUUUUCAGUAUCCUUUUCCAUCUGUUUGUUUCUCGGCAUACUUGCAUUUGGGUUUUAGAUUUCUCUUUCAGAAGAUGUUGAGUUUUGAAAUAUUGCGCAUUUGAGUUCCUAAACUUGGGCAGACACUUUGGUGCUUGUGUUGAUGUGGUUCAUUUUCUACAACGGGUCACGCAAUUUGGCUGAGCUCUGCAAGAGGUAGCAGUGUUACUUUAGUUUUACUAAUUGGUGUAACUUGAUUGUUAUAACUCACAGUAUAUUUUACUAAUUUCAGAGAUUUGUUGCUAGGCAUAUAGAUUGGGUUGUUCAAUAUAGGACUUGAACACCUGUGGCUCUCUUACAUGUUAUUAAUGUCCUCUUUUUUGUUAUUUGUUCAGUCAUUUAGCUGAAGUUGGAAUCGAGUUGCUGAUUAGAAUCUUAAAUUCUGCAAUUUUCUUGUUUGGGGUGUAAUGCGGUGAAAGAAUGAAAUAUUCCAAUAUUGUUAUGCUUAUAUUCUGGAAUGGAGGUAGGUAAUAGAAAAAUGAUAAAACCACCCUUGGCUAGCUUUAUCAGCAAAUGAAUAGUAUAAUAGGAAAAGUUCAAUUAGACCUCAUCUUUCCUUGUAUAUCUAUAUCAAUUCUGACAUUUGUUUUUCCCCAUCAAAGGUAUUGCUAUCUUCCAUAUGAAUGCUUUGGUGAGAAAUUAUGCAAGUAGCCAAUAUGCCUAAACUUUAGAUAGUAUUCCCUUUUUUUUUUUUUUUCUUUUUUUCUCUCAUGGAGAUUCACUUAAAAGGAGUAUCAUAUCUUGCAAAUUCGAAUUUGUCCUUGUAGCAAAAUCUCCACUCCGGGGCUCUAGCCUUUAGGCAUUAAGCAUUCCUUAUAAUUGCUUGGACUGGUCUGUUUAAUUUGGGGCAAUAGUAAUGUACCUGCACAUGGUUUUUCAGCAUUAGAAUUCUUUUUCUCUUGUUUUGUUGGUUUUCAAGUGCCUAAACCGUCAAAUACAACCUAUUUUUGAAUUGUUUAUUCCUUUGUAUAAGUUAGCUAGUGCUUGUAUAGGUUUAAUAGCCAUGAACUGGAUUCAGCGCAAGAUCUAUCUCUAUAAUGUCACUUUUGGUCUCUUUAUGUUG